Molecule: ribosomal RNA, 305 nt
Filed under: uncultured bacterium
Lineage: Bacteria
Description: bacterial SSU rRNA
Rfam family: Bacterial small subunit ribosomal RNA
Source: RNAcentral
ACCUACGGGGCGCAGCAAUGGGGAAUAUUGGGCAAUGGGCGCAAGCCUGACCCAGCAACGCCGCGUGAAGGAAGAAGGCUUUCGGGUUGUAAACUUCUUUUCUGAGGGACGAAGAAAGUGACGGUACCUCAGGAAUAAGCCACGGCUAACUACGUGCCAGCAGCCGCGGUAAUACGUAGGGAGCGAGCGUUGUCCGGAUUUACUGGGUGUAAAGGGUGCGUAGGCGGCUUGGCAAGUCAGUAGUGAAAUCCAUGGGCUUAACCCAUGAACUGCUAUUGAAACUGUCGAGCUUGAGUGAAGUAGAG